This 338-nucleotide unclassified non-coding RNA is filed under the name Hevea brasiliensis (rubber tree). The record is from RNAcentral. Lineage: Eukaryota; Viridiplantae; Streptophyta; Magnoliopsida; Malpighiales; Euphorbiaceae.
GAAGAACAAUUGGAAAUUUUUUGCUUCAUUUUGCAGCACAUCAACUGGUAUUCCCAUGGAGGUGUACUUACGACAAGCCUCUUGGCAACACCUGAUCCCAGCAUACAUCUGGCCAUUUUUUUUCCCACAGGUGUAUGUAGCAUAGAUGAUUAUAUGUUUGCAGAAUGCACAUGAACAUGGAUGAUUAAAUUUUUGACACAGUACCUAUCAAGAGGUACAUCCUUGCAGUUUUUCCCCUAUUUUUUGUUCUCUAAUAAUCCAUGUUUCUCAAAUUACUGUGGUACUGCUAUUGCAUCUCUUAUUGUGUUGCUUGCUUUUAUUUUUGUAUACUGUAUUUU